UACGUAGGGGGCUAGCGUUGUCCGGAUUUAUUGGGCGUAAAGAGCGUGUAGGCGGCCAGGUAGGUCUGGUGUGAAAACUCGAGGCUUAACCUCGAGAUGUCAUCGGAAACCAUCUGGCUAGAGUCCGGAAGAGGAGAGUGGAAUUCCUGGUGUAGCGGUGAAAUGCGCAGAUAUCAGGAAGAACACCAAUGGCGAAAGCAGCGCUCUGGGACGGUACUGACGCUGAGACGCGAAAGCGUGGGGAGCGAACAGG
This 253-nucleotide ribosomal RNA is filed under the name uncultured bacterium. RNAcentral's name for it is "partial 16S ribosomal RNA". It matches the Rfam family "Bacterial small subunit ribosomal RNA", at positions 524 to 776 of the family's 1533-position model. The record is from RNAcentral.